Long non-coding RNA from Melitaea cinxia (Glanville fritillary), 207 nucleotides. RefSeq lists it as uncharacterized. Lineage: Eukaryota; Metazoa; Arthropoda; Insecta; Lepidoptera; Nymphalidae. The transcript is spliced from 3 exons. The record is from RefSeq and is a predicted model, not a curated record.
GGAAAAUAUGUGCGAUUUACCCAUCUAUAUAUCGACGAUGGAAAGGCAAAAUGUAUUAUCCGCCAUCUAGUAAAAUGUUCAGGAGAGACGAUUAAGGUUUUAAAAACUUCAUAACUUUUAAAGUAUUGGAGAUAUCUCUAUGAAAUUAAGUGAAAUAGUAAUAAAAUUUAUUACAAAUGUAUACAUUUAAUAAAAAAUAACGUAUGU